This 146-nucleotide small nucleolar RNA is filed under the name Nelumbo nucifera (sacred lotus). RNAcentral's name for it is "Small nucleolar RNA snoR136". It matches the Rfam family "Small nucleolar RNA snoR136". Lineage: Eukaryota; Viridiplantae; Streptophyta; Magnoliopsida; Proteales; Nelumbonaceae. The record is from Rfam by way of RNAcentral.
AUAGCUUCACUUUCUUGAGCUACUCAAGAUAGUCUACUUGAUACUUUGAGCCUUUAGUGGAACUAUUUAAGUGAAGCCAGAAAGAUGUUCCUCUCGCUAUCCAGUGGGACGAUUGUAUUUCAUUUGGACGUUGGGGAACGAUAUUU